GACGUAGGGCGCGAGCGUUGUCCGGAUUUAUUGGGCGUAAAGAGCUCGUAGGCGGUUUGUCGCGUCGUCCGUGAAAACUCACAGCUUAACUGUGAGCUUGCGGUCGAUACGGGCAGGCUAGAGUUCGGUAGGGGGAGACUGGAAUUCCUGGUGUAGCGGUGAAAUGCGCAGAUAUCAGGAGGAACACCGGUGGCGAAGGCGGGGUCUCUGGGGCCGAUACUGACGUGAGGAGCGAAAAGCGUGGGGGAGCGAACAGG
This 257-nucleotide ribosomal RNA is filed under the name uncultured bacterium. RNAcentral's name for it is "partial 16S ribosomal RNA". It matches the Rfam family "Bacterial small subunit ribosomal RNA", at positions 524 to 776 of the family's 1533-position model. The record is from RNAcentral.